Molecule: long non-coding RNA, 1578 nt
Filed under: Olea europaea subsp. europaea
Lineage: Eukaryota; Viridiplantae; Streptophyta; Magnoliopsida; Lamiales; Oleaceae
Source: RNAcentral
CUGGCACAACAUAUAGCUCUCUCUAAUUGAAAUCCUUUGACGGCCGAUGGCGAGCGAUUGAUUGGAGAUAAAAUAACAGCGACGAUGAGCAGAUCGAUUGAGAUAAAUGUUCGACGACAUCUUUAACUUGACUAUGCGUUGUUUUAAAAUGGAUUUCAUUUUUGUUUGGGUGGAUUUCUUCUUCUUCUUUUUUUUUUUUUUUUUUUUUGGGUCGAAAUUUUCGAAGUUUUAUACCUAGCUUUUCUCUGGACAUGAAUUUGGUAGAUUUAUACUGAAUACACGGUGUCUUUUGGAAGCCAUAUUAGAAAAUUUUGCUGCCUAAUUUAGGGAGGAAUAUAUCAUAUUUGGAGUUUUCUACGUUAUUUCUAGUUUGUUGAGACAAUGAGUUUGUUUAUCUUUUGGAUAGUGCUUAGAAUGUGAGUGAAUACGUGAACAUUCAAUUUUCUAUAUUUUUGAAGAACGGAAUUUGAGUGAGUACAUGAACAUUCAAUUUUUGAACUGAUAGGCAUAUCAGUUGAUAUUUCUGUUAUGAAUUUCAACAUAUAGUUGAAGUUACAAUUUGUUCAUAGUUCAUACCUUGAAUAAGAAAUUUCUCCUUUUUUCAUCCCACACUUAUAUUAUAUUGAUGUUGAACAACAUUACAACAUAUUAUGUAUCUUGAAUUGUACGUUGAAGUUAUCGUUCUUGCAGUUACAUUACUAAAUGGCUGGAAAGAACAUGGGUAUUUAUGAUGAUGCGUUAUCAUGGGUUGCGUUAUGAUGAUGUAAGGGAAGGAUUCCAUCACCAAAUUACUGAUUUUAUCGAUCAAAUGAAGGCUGAUCCAUUGAAUGCUGGGCACAGAUCAUUCCCAGUGCUCGUGUGCAUUCAAGUUUACCCAAUACAAGAAGAGGAUAAACUAUUGAUGCUGCCAAGGACAUGGCCAUUGUAGUGGAAACGUUUGGGGCGGGGGAUAAAAUAUGAACAGAAUCUUCUCGUUCAGACUACAACUACAUCUGUGUCUACUGCUACAUCCGUGUCUGCAACACCAGAAUAUAUGGAGAAGGUUAAAAUAAAGGUUGAUGAUCCAGAACAAAGAGUGUUGUAUUUGUUUGAACAAGCCUUGUGUUGGAGAAGAAAUAUCGAUUCUGCCAUGUCCACAUGCUUAUCAUUACAAAUGUAUAUCUGUCGGGCUAGUGAAGAGCAAGCUAUGUCCAUUGUGUCGCAAACCUGUGCACUGGAAUUAAUCCCCUGUGAGUAUUUAUGCUAAGUCCUGGAAGAAGUGCAAUUUGAAGGAAAGUGUAUUGGCGUUUGCGAUGGAAGUCAAUCAAGCUAUAUUGGAAAGUGUUGUCGAAUGAAAAAUUGAAGAAGAUGAGGAGAUUUCAUUCAACAUAUCUAUCCAAAAGGAAAAAGGAAAAUCGAAAGGUAACAGCAAGGGAAAGCAUAGGGAAUAGCAAUGAUGUCUAUGUUUGUGAAAAUUUGUUAUUGGAAGAUGUUAUGUUUAACUUUUCGAAAUGUAGUCAACUAUAAAUUCAUGUCCAUUUGAACAACUAACUGUUAUUGGAUAUCUUUUCUGUAUCUCAUUCCUUGAAUAUCGCGGGA